AUCAGGGAAACUUCAGAUAUGAGGUACAAGAUUCCCAACCCAGAGCCUGGGGACCCUGCAUUAAAAGACUGAUGUCUCUGUUGCUAAAUCUGGGUCCCUGGUGACUCAGACAGUAAAGAAUCCACCUGGAUUGUAGGAGACCAGUUUUGAACUAUGGGUCAUGAAGAUCCUCUGGACGAGGGCAUGGCAACCCCACUCCAGUAUUCCUGCCUGGAGAAUCCCAUGGACAGAGGAUCAUGGGCACUAUGGACAAAGAUUCAGAAAGCCUGACUCUGAGUCCCUGUUGAUUACAAAUGAGACAUCAAUUUCUGGACCAGACUUUUGAUGAUGGAUUGUUUGGAGGGUGUAACAGAGGAGGCUUUGGUGUUGCUUUGAGGUGCUGGCCUUGAAGCUGCUGUAGCUGCAAGGCUAAUUGGCAGACUUUGAUUUUGAUCUUGUGUCUUUAAAUUGUCAUUAACAUUUUUCAAUAAGUUUUUUUAAUAAAACCAUUUUGGAAUUUUUGA
This is a long non-coding RNA of Bubalus bubalis (water buffalo), 503 nucleotides long. RefSeq lists it as uncharacterized. NCBI's taxonomy places the organism in Eukaryota, Metazoa, Chordata, Mammalia, Artiodactyla, Bovidae. The transcript has 5 exons. The record is from RefSeq and is a predicted model, not a curated record.